AUGAUGGGGGACGACUCGGACGACCUCAUCUCCAGAUCGCUCUUCUUCAUCAGCGUCGGCAGCAACGACCUGUUCGAGUACGCCUACCCCUGGCCGACGCCCCCGAACCGCAACGACACCGCCUUCCUGGGAUGCCUCGUCGACCAUUACAAGACCUACCUGCAGGAGCUGUAUGCGGCCGGGGCGAGGAAGUUCAGCAUCGUCAGCCCGUCGCUGGUGGGGUGCUGCCCGUCGCAGAGGGCGGUGGCGGUGACACAUAACAAUGACACCGACGAGUUCAACUGCUUCGGCGCGGCGAACAAGCUCUCCAGGCAGCUGUACCCAAUGAUAGACUCGAUGCUGCAGGGCCUCAACGCUGAUCUGGACGGCAUGAACUACUCCCUCUCCGACUCCGUAGGGAUGGCCCAAAUGGUCUUCGCCAGCGGCGGAAAAGCCGUCAACCUGACGGUGGUGGACACGGCGUGCUGCGCCGGCACAGGACGGUUCGGGGUGGGCCAGUGCAACACCUCCGCCAAGCUCUGCCCAAACCGCGACGACUUCAUGUUCUGGGACGGCUUCCAUCCGACGGAGGAGGCGUCGUUCCUGGCCGCGAUCGAGAUCUUCGGCGACACCGGCAAAUACCUCCACCCGAUGAACGUGAGGCAGCUGGCGGCGCUCUAA
Molecule: ribosomal RNA, 660 nt
Filed under: Triticum aestivum (bread wheat)
Lineage: Eukaryota; Viridiplantae; Streptophyta; Magnoliopsida; Poales; Poaceae
Description: partial small subunit ribosomal RNA
Source: RNAcentral